RNAcentral lists this long non-coding RNA (492 nucleotides) under Ananas comosus (pineapple). RNAcentral's name for it is "long non-coding RNA (ACOM_LNC030997)". Lineage: Eukaryota; Viridiplantae; Streptophyta; Magnoliopsida; Poales; Bromeliaceae. The record is from RNAcentral.
AACAAAGGCAAAAUGGCCGUUUGGUUACGUGUAGUUGUAGCUGCAUUGCAGUUGUAACUGCAUAUAAAUGCAAAUUUCGUGUUUGGUUUGAUGUAUUUAACUCAAACUGCUGCAGUAAAAACUGCAGGAGGAGGCCCAACUGCAGUAGUUCGAACUACGCCCAAAUUGGCGUGAUUCCAAUUACAGUAGUUGGAGAGAGUAACUUUAAAUAAAAUGUAUGCUUACCUCCUCAAUAUUUUUAAAACAAAAAUUAUUUUUUUUUUUUACAUUGGAGGUAAUCUCACCUUCAUAUAUAUAAAAUAAUAAAAUUUUAAAAAUUAUUUCUCAACUGUAUGCAAUCAAAUAAAUUAUUUAUACGUGCAGCGCUUUCUACUGCAUCCAACCAAACAAGAUUCAUGUAGUUAUAACUGCUGUAUUUCCAACUGCAUGCAUCUCUAACUACACUGUAUUUAUAAUUACAUCUAACCAAACGGUCCCAAGUAUUUUUAUUAG